Molecule: ribosomal RNA, 408 nt
Filed under: Triticum aestivum (bread wheat)
Lineage: Eukaryota; Viridiplantae; Streptophyta; Magnoliopsida; Poales; Poaceae
Description: partial small subunit ribosomal RNA
Source: RNAcentral
AUGAUUCUUCGUGAUGAUAGAGGCAACAUCAUCUAUACUGCUUGUAGACAGCUCCUUACAUGCGAUAAUGGCCUUGAGGCAGAGCUGGCUGCGUGCAGAGAGGGCCUGGAGCUUGCGCUUUACCGUACGAACCUGCCCGUUAUGGUUGAGCUCGACUGUGCAGAAGCGGUGUCUAUGCUGCUAGCACGUACUGGAGAUAGAUCGCAGUACCGUGUGCUCAUUGAGGAGAUUCGAAGACUAGCACAAGAUGCUUGUAGGGAGAUUUCUUUUACUCUUAUUAGUCGCUCGCAGAAUAAGGUUAGUCAUGCGAUUGCCGCGUAUGGACGUGCUACACCCCGCACUGCAGUUUGGCUGUGCUCGGGGCUGGAUUUUGUUGUAAACCUUUCGAAGGCGGAUAUGCCUCCUUGA